AACGGAGACAGGCCGGCUAGAGCGUAACAAGUGUCAAGACAACUCCAGUUUGCUUGUCAACAAAGAAAACAUGCAACACUGAGCCCGUACACGUAAGUUAUUUUCAUUCGGGAAACUUGAAAUUAUCUGUUCCUCAAAGCUCACAAUUUUUCUAAGCUUCACUCGAACUACUUAUACAACCUCUGAGCAUAUUUUGCGAAAAAUGGAAGCUGUUGUUGUACAUUCAUGUUUCAGAUAUUCUUGGGAAUGCUUGCGAAGAGUAUCUAGAACAAUCGAGCAUCUAAUCACGUACCCUUGGACACAUUAGAUCCAAGCGAUUGAACAAAGAUUCUAAACUCCCUCGACAAUUUAAAUUACAUCAUAGCGUGCACGCAAGGUCUACCUAUUUCCCAAGGCCUACCGCGGUAAAAAAAUCCUUAUGUACAGUACGACCGUGCAUCCAUCACAUGACAAGUAUAGCCGCGAGGUUUCAAAACUUUCGAGAUUUUUUCCCGCUCUAUCCCGAUUGAGAUAGAUAUGGUAGGGUAAGGUAAGGUAUAAACUUUAUUUUACCAGAGUGGGCCAAUCAGCCGUUAGGCUGGUAUCCAGAGGGGCCCAGAGCAGACCUUUUGGAGCUCAAAAUGAAAAUAAACAUGUAAGUAAUACUAAUUUCGAAAAACAAUGAACAUCUAGUACUUUCAAGCGACGAAAUUAGUCUCAAACGCGAUGCGAAUCAUGGCUGAAAAAAACAAAACUAAGCUUUCUGACUUCAACUGAGGCUCUGCGAUGUCGGGUAAUCUUCAUUAAACGGUAUUUUGAAGUGUUGAUAUGUCUUAAAAGUGUUGUUAGUGUUGUUCAAUGAUUUGAAAUCGUACAAUUUUUAGAAUUUUCAUCAAAUUUAGUGCUACUUACAAUUUAUGCGUUUGUUUGUUUAUUUAUAAGCGAAUCUUUCGGUACUUUUACAAAAUAAAAAUUCUAAAUCCAAUCAAAUUUUAUCCAACUACUUUCUGCUACCUUGAUUUAAUUUAUUAAUUUUAUUAUCCUAUCUCAUGAAAUUUCCUUUAAUCUUCGAUUUGAUAAGUAAGACCAUCAGCUUGCUUUUCUUUUGAAUAUUUUUAUUUUUACUUUACUGGUAGGCUCUAAAAACAAAUGUGAUUAACAUUUUACUAAUAAAACACCCUGCCUUUGGUCUAUGAUACAUAGCAAUGAGAAAUGAUCUAACAAGAAUCUCUCAAUGGAUUUGUUGGCUACGAAUACUUAUUCACCUUUGAAAUUCUCAGCUAAAUGACGUUGUAUAUUUAUACUCAAGAGUUGUUAUAUUUUUAUCCUUCUCCCCCCAUCCAUCCUCCACUAACUUUAUUCCUUUCCUUAAUUUGUCUCUUUGUUUGUUUGUACCAUGAAUAAUGUUUGCACGGAAAAAUCUGCUUGUGAUAAGGCUGUUGGUAUCUGUGAUCAAGAAGAGGGAAUGGAAUGCAACAUAGACUGCUGUUCAGAAGACCUGGCAACGGUGAUGAUAGAAAGUGACUUGGCAGGUUUCGAGACAUCUUCGUAGCCUCAGAGGAGCAUUACUUAUUGUGGUUGAUGCUCAGUUGACUGCUUUCCGAAACUAUGAAAAUCAUAAAGGGAGAGGAAGUUUUCCUCUCUACCUUAUUUAGAAAUAUGUAACGCAAAGAAGUUUAGUCUAUUUACCUCUUCGUAGCAUACAUAAAGCAGUGAAGAUUAUAUAAAAUGCUUUAACUUAUUCCAUAGUCGCACUAAGAGUUGUUUGUUGUGUUACAGAAUGUGACCUCAUGCAUGCAUGUAUUCAACAGUGGACUGUUGAAUUAAUUAAGUUGUGAUAAACGUUCCCGGAUCAUCUUCUUCUUUCGGGAUUAACCUAACUGACUCGUGUGUUCUCCGUGCAAUCCGUUUUUAUUCCAUCCCAUCCCAUCAUGACAGAAGGAGCGAAUUUAACACAGUGUAUAUUUUCAAUGUCCUGUUUGGUAAUGUUCCUGAAUUGAAGUCAUUGCAUUCCUUGUUUGUUUUGUGUGCAGAAUCAAGUUCUUCGAGUGAGAAGUUUCAAACGUCGAUUGUACCCAGGCCAACUGUGUAAUAUCGGUCUUCGAACUACACAAGUAAUUCUUACCGUGGAUUUGAAUGGCCGGUCAUGUGGAAUUCUCGCUGGAUUGAUUCCUCCACGUCAGAACUUUUAUGGAAUUUGAUUUAGAUAAACUUAUAGUACAACUAUCUGGUUUUAAUGAGGCAAAGUCUCGAAGCAAGGAGACGUGGUUUCGUCGGAUAAUCGAGCGAUUUUCGCGGAGAGUGGAUCAGUCGGUUGCUUUUACAAAGCCUUCCUCCCUUUAUUUCUUCGGACAGUAGUGGGAUGAAUCUCGAGGAAAUAACCUGGAGCCGCCACCAGAGAACAAAAAUAACACAAGUAACGCUAUCUGAAGGUUAGAAUUUAUUUGCUGUAUUACUUACGGGGUUACAGAGCGGAGCUUUACAAUAUUAUCCUCUCACAAAGAGCUUGGGCCCCCGUGCUGUCAUGCUACACUCUAGGAUUUCAACUGUUGUCCACGCGGAGGCGGUUUGCGCCCAGAAAAUCCAUCUGAUUGACUAUUUUUUAACCCUCAGUUUAC
Molecule: long non-coding RNA, 2597 nt
Organism: Pocillopora damicornis (cauliflower coral)
Lineage: Eukaryota; Metazoa; Cnidaria; Anthozoa; Scleractinia; Pocilloporidae
Source: RefSeq, a predicted model, not a curated record